GCCUGCAUGGCUCAGUCAGUUAAGCGUCUGAUUUCAGCUCAGGUCAUGAUCUCACAGUCUGUGGGUCUGAGUCCCGCUUCGGGCU
This 85-nucleotide transfer RNA is filed under the name Felis catus (domestic cat). It matches the Rfam family "tRNA". From Rfam's summary of the family: Transfer RNA (tRNA) molecules are approximately 80 nucleotides in length. Their secondary structure includes four short double-helical elements and three loops (D, anti-codon, and T loops). The record is from Rfam by way of RNAcentral. Lineage: Eukaryota; Metazoa; Chordata; Mammalia; Carnivora; Felidae.